Molecule: non-coding RNA, 144 nt
Organism: Danio rerio (zebrafish)
Lineage: Eukaryota; Metazoa; Chordata; Actinopteri; Cypriniformes; Danionidae
Source: Ensembl
GACACAUCUCAGUCAUCAUCUCUAUCUGCACUGCUGUGAUGCAGAGAGGGCUCCUUCUCUGUUUUGAGCCGUAGCAGUGACAGACUUGUCAAGACAACCCAUGAAUGAAAUGUGAUGAAGAGCCCUUACAGAGUGUCCAAAGAU